CCCUUAGACGUUCUGGGCCGCACGCGCGCUACACUGACGAAGGCAACGAGCUUUCCUUUACCGAAAGGUACGGGUAAUCUUUUGAAACUUCGUCGUGCUGGGGAUAGAUCCUUGCAAUUUUUGAUCUUAAACGAGGAAUUCCUAGUAAGCGCAAGUCAUCAACUUGCGUUGAUUACGUCCCUGCCCUUUGUACACACCGCCCGUCGCUACUACCGAUUGAAUGGUUUAGUGAGGCCUUCGGAUCCGCGACUCGUUUUGUGGAGAAGUUGGACAAACCCAGUCAUUUAGAGGAAGUAAAAGUCGUAACA
This 308-nucleotide ribosomal RNA is filed under the name uncultured eukaryote. RNAcentral describes it as "partial 18S ribosomal RNA". It matches the Rfam family "Eukaryotic small subunit ribosomal RNA", at positions 1470 to 1796 of the family's 1831-position model. The record is from RNAcentral.